GGACCCGCACAAGUAGUGGAGCAUGUGGUUUAAUUCGAAGAUACGCGCAGAACCUUACCAACACUUGACAUGUUCGUCGCGACUUUAAGAGAUUAAAGUUUUCGGUUCGGCCGGACGAAACACAGGUGCUGCAUGGCUGUCGUCAGCUCGUGUCGUGAGAUGUUGGUUAAGUCCCGCAACGAGCGCAACCCUCACUUUUAGUUGCCAUCAUUAAGUUGGGCACUCUGAAAGAACUGCCAGUGAUAAGCUGGAGGAAGGUGGGGAUGACGUCAAGUCCUCAUGGCCCUUACGUGUUGGGCUACACACGUGCUACAAUGGUCGGUACAAAUGGGUCGCCACCCAGCGAUGGGCGCA
Molecule: ribosomal RNA, 354 nt
Filed under: uncultured bacterium
Lineage: Bacteria
Description: bacterial SSU rRNA
Rfam family: Bacterial small subunit ribosomal RNA
Source: RNAcentral